RNAcentral lists this ribosomal RNA (253 nucleotides) under uncultured bacterium. Its description in RNAcentral is "partial 16S ribosomal RNA". It matches the Rfam family "Bacterial small subunit ribosomal RNA", at positions 524 to 776 of the family's 1533-position model. The record is from RNAcentral.
UACGUAGGGAGCAAGCGUUGUCCGGAAUCAUUGGGCGUAAAGCGCGCGUAGGUGGCCUCAUAAGUCCGCUGUGAAAGUCAAAGGCUCAACCUUUGAAAGCCGGUGGAUACUGUGGGGCUAGAGUACGGAAGAGGCGAGUGGAAUUCCUGGUGUAGCGGUGGAAUGCGCAGAUAUCAGAAGGAACACCAAUAGCGAAGGCAGCUCGCUGGGACGUUACUGACACUGAGGCGCGAAAGCGUGGGGAGCGAACAGG